Molecule: long non-coding RNA, 1189 nt
Filed under: Brachypodium distachyon (stiff brome)
Lineage: Eukaryota; Viridiplantae; Streptophyta; Magnoliopsida; Poales; Poaceae
Description: long non-coding RNA (BDIS_LNC005772)
Source: RNAcentral
AAUUUAAUUAUUCCAAAUGCCAAUGACAACAUUUGAAGUAUCAGAUGUUAUGUUGUCAGGGAAAAGAUCUGUAUUCCCUCUUAUACUCUGACUCUCUGAGGUGUCCAGUGGCAUAAAGCAAUAAGCAUCAGCAUGCGCAAUGUGAGAACACGAAGAAACUCCCAUUCUACUUUUGGUACUUAAGCUAACAACCUGAUCCCAUGGAAUCAAACAUUUUCUCAUGUACCAGCACGUGAGAAGAAACUGAUUGAUUACCUCACAGUUUGCCUACACCAUUGGUGCUCUCACGGUUUACAAACUCACUUGUCUUAUCUAUUAUCUCAAAUCCAUCUCCUCACCGACAUCACAGCCUCUAUGUAGUGCACUCACUCUCAUGGUAUGUCUACAAUUGGCACCUUGCGGCGGCACAUACAACAAACGUACUGAAUUAGCAUAUACUCUGGUCAGCCGUCAGCACAAAGAAGAAAGAAAGAUGGCAAUAGGAAAAUCAAAAAUUAACAUCUUUUCAUAUGAAACAAGCGUGGAGUGUUGCAUUAUCUCGUUGGCAAUACGUAGUGUAGAUUAGCAACUGAAUUCAACUAACAAACAACUGAAUUUUGUGAAAAGAAAUUCUUAUCCCAUGGUACAUUCCCUAGUCUAAAUAAGAUGACUAUAAAAACUAAAUUCAGCUAAUUAACAACUGACACAUUCGACUAAAAACUACAUUGAGCUAAUUAACAAUGACACUUAGCAUUCCAAUGAAAUUUAUGAGGCAGAACCGUCCAUUGUUCUGUAAAUGUCUAUACCUGACUGAAUAUUGCCCAUUAGAAGAUAGCAGCCAAAUCUGACGAAGCUACUGCAGCAAAUUCUCCAUCAACUCACUCAAGUUACUUCUGAAGGCACUAUGUAAUCACAAAGCAAUUAUUCCCUAGUCUGAACACGAUGAGAUCAAAGUAAGGGUGGGGAGAUGUGCGGAUGAUUACUGACCUGGCUGUGUGUUGGCAGGGGACUGGAAGUGACAGGGGUCAUUGGCGGCUCCCUCAACGAGGGCGGAGGGCACCGACGGCCAAGCCCUUGUGGAGGUUCGAUGGCAGCUCCAUCAGAGGUGCCUGCUGUAACUGAUGGCCGUGCCAUUAGAGGAGGCGGGCAGUGCGGCAGGAGAAGGUGGCGGCAGCGGGCGGGGCGGCUGGAGAAAGCUUUGGCAGAGUAC